This 435-nucleotide RNase P RNA is filed under the name Spirochaetaceae bacterium. Its description in RNAcentral is "RNase P RNA component class A". It matches the Rfam family "Bacterial RNase P class A". From Rfam's summary of the family: Ribonuclease P (RNase P) is a ubiquitous endoribonuclease, found in archaea, bacteria and eukarya as well as chloroplasts and mitochondria. Its best characterised activity is the generation of mature 5'-ends of tRNAs by cleaving the 5'-leader elements of precursor-tRNAs. The record is from RNAcentral. Lineage: Bacteria; Pseudomonadati; Spirochaetota; Spirochaetia; Spirochaetales; Spirochaetaceae.
ACGAUGAACCGGUUUGCCGCUCGGAUGCGCGUUGAGCGUGUCCGGGAGGAAAGUCCGGGCUCCGCAGGGCAUGAUGCCGGGUAACGCCCGGGGGCGUUUCAAUGCGCCGCAUUGAAACGCUACAGAAAGCGCAACAGAAAAUAUACCGCCCUAUCUGCGCUUGCGCAGAAUAGGGUAAGGGUGAAAUGGCGGGGUAAAAGCCCACCUCAGCGGCAGUAAUGCCGCCGCAUGGCAAGCCUCAUCAGGAGCAAAAGCGAACAGCAGGAUAGGCCGGCGCGGAAACACGCCGGCCGGCAGAUGGCCCGUCUGGCACCUGCGGGUUGCUUGCUGGAAUUUGUCCGCAAGGGCAAAACAAGACAGAUGGUAAACGAAACGCGGUUCCGGCUUUCCGGGAGCGCGUUUGCACAGAACCCGGCUUACAGGUUCAUCGUUUUU